CUACGGGUUGCUCCAGUGGGGAAUAUUGGACAAUGGGGGAAACCCUGAUCCAGCAAUGCCGCGUGUGUGAAGAAGGCCUGCGGGUUGUAAAGCACUUUCGGUUGGGAGGACUGCUUCUAGCACUAAUAUUGUUGGAAGUUGACGUUACCUUCAGAAGAAGCACCGGCUAACUCCGUGCCAGCAGGCCGCGGUAAUACGGAGGGUGCAAGCGUUAAUCGGGAAUUACUGGGCGUAAAGCGCGCGUAGGCGGCUAGAUCAGUCGGGUGUGAAAGCCCCGGGCUUAACCUGGGAACUGCAUCCGAUAAUGGCUAGAUUGAGGACAGGAGAGGAGAGUGGAAUUCCAAAUGUAGCGGUGAAAUGCGUAGAUAUGUGGAGGAACACCAAUGGCGAAGGCAGCUCUCUGGGCUGAUACUGACGCUGAGGUGCGAAAGCGUGGGGAGCAAACAGGAUUAGAUACCCUAGUAGUC
This 467-nucleotide ribosomal RNA is filed under the name uncultured bacterium. Its description in RNAcentral is "partial 16S ribosomal RNA". It matches the Rfam family "Bacterial small subunit ribosomal RNA", at positions 339 to 795 of the family's 1533-position model. The record is from RNAcentral.